GGGCCCGCACAAGCGGUGGAGCAUGUGGUUUAAUUCGACGCAACGCGAAGAACCUUACCAGGUCUUGACAUCCGGUGCAAGACACUAGAGAUAGUGGGAUAGAUAUGACCGAGACAGGUGGUGCAUGGUUGUCGUCAGCUCGUGUCGUGAGAUGUUUGGUUAAGUCCAGCAACGAGCGCAACCCUUGUCCUUAGUUGCCAUCAUUAAGUUGGGGACUCUAAGGAGACUGCCGGUGUAAAUCGGAGGAAGGUGGGGAUGACGUCAAAUCAUCAUGCCCUUUAUGACCUGGGCUACACACGUGCUACAAUGGGCGGUACAAAGAGAAGCGAAACAGUGAUGUGGAGCAAACCUCAAAAAGCCGUUCUCAGUUCGGAUUGAAGUCUGCAACUCGACUUCAUGAAGCCGGAAUCGCUAGUAAUCGCGAAUCAGCUACGUCGCGGUGAAUACGUUCUCGGGCCUU
This 460-nucleotide ribosomal RNA is filed under the name uncultured bacterium. RNAcentral describes it as "bacterial SSU rRNA". It matches the Rfam family "Bacterial small subunit ribosomal RNA", at positions 917 to 1382 of the family's 1533-position model. The record is from RNAcentral.